CACCCACAAACAAGUUAAAGGGCACGGGACGGAUCACUCCGCACCUCGCCUUCUGGACAAGCCACCGCCGCUCCGACGGCCGCUGGCUUUAUUCUCUCACACCACCGGCUCUCUCCCCACCUCUCCUUCUCUCCCAUCUCCUCUCCCUCUGGCUUCCACUAUUCCUCCAUUCUCGCACCCAAACAAAAGAUGGUUUUGGUUCUUUCUCGCGGCCAUCCACCAUAGCGACGGCUCUGGAGCCCAUCCCCAAACCAUAGCCCGAUUUCUCCUCUCGCAUCCGGUUUAGGUUUUAGGCGUCACUUCCUCACGAGCCAGCUGCGAAUCAGGCCCCUUUCUUGCCAAAACCCUAAGUAUUUCAGGAUUUCGAGACCUUGGUUUUGGAAUCUCUUCAUGCUCUGGUGGCUUAUUGCUGGGUUAUUGCUUAUCUACCGGAAUCUUGAACUCUGGAUUUUAAAUGAAUCCAUGGAUGUUGUUUAUUUCGAUAUGGGUUUGCAUUUCUGAUAGCUUCACCUUAUCAGUUGAUUGUAUAUUUGUAUCCGGGGCAUGCUGAUGAAACAAGUGAUGGUCCAUUAGAAUUAUCUAUAUACUGGAAUCUUGAACCCUAGAUUGACAUGGAAAGGGAUGUCAUUAUCUUUUUCCUUGCAUUUUGCUUUUUCUCUAUUUGCGAUGAUCGAUACAAUGAACUGAUAGAUUGUUGUUUGUCCUGAUAUGAUUUUGCUUUUGUGACUUUAUCUUGUCAAUGCCAACAAGGCUAGCGCAUACAGGGACAGUAUCAUAUUAUUUGUGCACUUUGCUUCGCCACCAUAUGUGAUCUUUCUUCUCGCUGCAUUUGCCAUCCAUUAUUAAAACAAGUGAAAAAAGAUGGUCAUGCCUUGUCUUCUAGCGAUUAAUUGCCAGGAACAACAUGUUCAUAUUAAUUAGUAUAGCGUUGUGGUUAGCAAUGUAGUCUUUUGUUAGCAUUCACAAGCUUUUGCAUCAAGGAAUACCUCUUUAACCUUCCAAGGAUUUAUUGCAAGAUAUAUUUUAGGUAUGUUUUGCACUGUUUAGUUAGAUUAUUGUUUUCUUUGUGGAUUGUUGGAGUGGAGUUUUAUUUUUAUUUCAUCUCCAAUUAUUCAUAACACUCCUUAGUGAGAUAGGUUGUUGUUUACCUUGUCCUUUCUUUCAUGAUUUUUUUGAUAUGUUGCUUGAUUGUCCUUUUUUGUUCAUUUUUGGUAGUUGUCGGUUUUCUCCUUUUUUUUUCAUUUUUUUUGUUUAUCUGUCAGCAUCAAUGAUGUUUAACCUCUUAUAGUUAUCCUUGCACUUUGAUUGCCAGUGAAGAAAUUUAUGGGGGAAAUCAUUGACUGAGAUGCUUCUUUUAUUUUUAAUUUUCUUUUUUUUUUGUUGUGUGUGUGUUGUAUCUCUGGAUCAAUGAUGCAUCCAUAAUCUGUGUUAUCUUUCUGUAACUCCUUUGAAGGAUUUGAAGAUGAUACUUAUCUUCUGAGAUCUGGUAAAAUAGAUUGUAGUAUUCUGCCAGGGUUUUUAUUUUAAGCAUUCUGGAGCAUACUUAUGGAUAACAAGAGAAUUUGUGGUUUGUUUCUCUGGCCAA
Molecule: non-coding RNA, 1585 nt
Organism: Phoenix dactylifera (date palm)
Lineage: Eukaryota; Viridiplantae; Streptophyta; Magnoliopsida; Arecales; Arecaceae
Source: RefSeq, a predicted model, not a curated record